GACGAACGCUGGCGGCGUGCUUAACACAUGCAAGUCGAACGGUGAAGCGCCUUCCUUUUUGGUGGGUGUGGAUGAGUGGCGAACGGGUGAGUAACACGUGAGUAACCUGCCCCCUUCUUCUGGAUAACCGCAUGAAAGUGUGGCUAAUACGGGAUAUUCUGGGUCUGUCGCAUGAUGGGUCUGGGAAAGAUAUUGUUUCGGUGGGGGAUGGGCUCGCGGCCUAUCAGCUUGUUGGUGGGGUGAUGGCCUACCAAGGCGGUGACGGGUAGCCGGCCUGAGAGGGUGGCCGGUCACACUGGGACUGAGACCCGGCCCCGACUCCUACGGGAGGCAGCAGUGGGUAAUAUUGCACAAUGGGCGCAAGCCUGAUGCAGCGACGCCGCGUGAGGGAUGGAGGCCUUCGGGUUGUGAACCUCUUUCGCCAGUGAAGCAGGCCUGCCUCGUUUGUGGGUGGGUUGACGGUAGCUGGAGAAGAAGCUCCGGCUAACUACGUG
Molecule: ribosomal RNA, 494 nt
Filed under: uncultured bacterium
Lineage: Bacteria
Description: partial 16S ribosomal RNA
Rfam family: Bacterial small subunit ribosomal RNA
Source: RNAcentral